This is a long non-coding RNA of Gallus gallus (chicken), 7453 nucleotides long. RefSeq lists it as uncharacterized. The record is from RefSeq and is a predicted model, not a curated record. Lineage: Eukaryota; Metazoa; Chordata; Aves; Galliformes; Phasianidae. The transcript has 3 exons.
GCAUGUACAUGCACUGUACGUGUAGCACUGCUUUUAAAAUCAGCAAGUCCUCUUUCCAGUAAAGAUGCAAAUGCAGUGAUCCCAGUGAUCACUCUAGGUCUACUUUUCUGCCUUCCUUUCCAAACCAUUAAAUGGCAGAGGAAAAUAUGUUCUGGGAGCCAGAAGUGUAGCUGGAGAAGAGGGUUUCACAGGGGAACUGUCACUUCAGUUUUACAUAGCUGGACUCUCACCUCCAGAGCAAGCAACAUGGUGCGUCCACUUUGCUGUCCCUGGCAUGUGUUACACAGAGUCACAGAAUCAUAGAAUGCUGUUGUUUGUUAUCUUUGUUAUCCCCAGCGCAGUUUUGGCUCAUCUUCUGCGGCUGUAAUCUGUAAUUUUGACUAAUGACUGACCACUAGUAAGUAGCACGGUUCAGUUUAUAACCUUUGGGUCUUGGUUAGCAAUCUAUGAUCGUACAUAGAGGGCUCCCGCUAUUAUCCCACAUCUGUAUUCACCUACAUUGUGCUUUAUGCUGCAGUCAAAUGUAGUUCAUUCUGCGCAUGAUGAAUAGUUGCAAUCACUUGUCAUGUCCUACAAAACUUGUGUAUAAAAGGAGAUGUUACAGCAUAUACUGGUACUAAGCUAAAGACAAGCUAAAACAAAUUUGGCAGUAAUCACUAGUGCGUUGGCUGCUGUUACAAGCUAAAUCAGUUUCAGACUGUUGAAGACAAGCCUAGACAACAUCUGAUACAUCCUGAGGCCCACAGAGCUCAAUAACGGGCUGGUACCAGGUAUAAGCAGUGUUUAUUGGAAUACAGGGUUGCAAACCCCUUUCAUGUAAUUAUUUCUGAAGCAUAUGUGCCUGUAAAAGAGGAAAAUAGAAAGUGUUUUGUUAUUGUUCUUGCUUUCUGUGAUCUUGUCUUAUCUUGUGCUAUUAAGCCCACUUAAUAACAUGGUUUGUAAUAAAAAUCUUCAUGUCAAGAACUGACAUCUCUUAUUUCUUCUUGCUUUAGUUGAAAUCUAAGUGAACUGUUGUGGUGUCAGCAAUCUCAGUGUUUAUUUACGUUGCUGACUAACUGUUACAAAAAGCUAAUUGCUGUUGCAGCUAUUAGAAACUCAUUUUGGCAUUGUUCGGAUAAAUUAGCAAGUGGUUAUAGCUGUCUCUGUGAAUUUACAUUUGCAUUUGCAUUUAAUCCCACAGAUUUACAGGAUCUUGUGAGCAACAGUUUGAGAAUAAUACUUUAGGCUUUUUUUUUUCUUAAAUAGUGGAAGCUGAUUUUACUUCCCCUAUGUCAAGAUCAUCAGCUGUACAACUUUCACAACUGACAUCAGAGCAAUCUUCUAUUGAUCAUGUUUUCUCCUCUGACUCUCAGACACAGUGUGGCCUUCUGUUUAUGUAACUGCAACUAAUCUGCUGUGAAAGGGUUGUAGAAGACCAGGUGAAUAAAUGGGGAAUAACAGCUGUGUGGGAACUGGUUGCCUAGGAGUAGAAAAGAGAACACUAUUGCUUCUAUCUUGCUUCUAUCUAAUAUGGAUAAACUUGAUCGAUAACUUUAAAGUGCAUAUAUUAUAAUUGUUCUCAUCUAGUGUUUACGGGUAGUAAACAAGUAUUUUAUAUGUAGCAAGGUAUGUGUUUUUAGUCUGUCUUCAUAAAGCAGAGAGAUUACAGGGAAUAUAAAACAGAGUGGAUCCUUUCUUGUCCUCAUGUUUGCAUCCAUACAGAAACAAAGCAAGGAGAAUAUAAUAGCAACUUUGGCAUAGAUUUCAAGCCUGAAUUCAUGCUAUACUCAGUGUGAGCCAUUUGUUGUGGUAUAUGGAAAUAAUCAUUUGAGAAAACAGUGUUGUUAGGCCUUCAUUAAUACAUUUUCAUUUGGGGCUAACCGUAUAUGAAUCACUACAUCUAUAUAGUAGCUUUAAAGGCUUGCUAUGAACUGAAAGUAGCACAGUAUAUAAUCAGACACUUUGGGGAUUAUUUCUUUUACUUAAAAGUUUCAGAACAAGGAAGUAGACUCUAUUUUAAGAUGAUGAUAGAGGACACAGCAACAAACAAACAGGUUAUCACAAGGAUGUGGCUGGUUUUGUGCAUCUAAACCAGCCUGACUGUAUCUUCUCAGUCACAGAGUUGUAUUAAGACAGAGCAGCUAGACAGACUUGAUUGUGAAAGGAGUUCCAGCUAUCAAGGAAAUGCUCACAUGGGAAUGUUUGGCUUUUUUUCCUAUUCAGGUGGCUCAAAUAGCUCUACAGUGUGGAUUCACAUUGCACUGGUUCCUUCUGAGAAGGAGCAUUUUAACUUCUGGUCAAUAUUAUAGACAAGAGAAAGCAUUCCUGUUUUAUCUUCAUCCAGAAACAUUUAAUAACUAUUUUUAGACUGCUAUUCUAUUAACCCUAUAUUGCUAUGAAAGCUCAUGCUGGCAACAGUUUCCUACAGAGUAUUCACCUUCAUGUAGGAUGCUUUAUUUUAAGAUUUCUAGGAGGCAUUUUUCAAGUUGUCUCAUCAUAUAAGAAUUUAUGUACUAACAAGCAGAUAAUGUUUUUAUUUAGGAUAUCAUGAACCUAAUACAUUAGGGAAAAAUAAGUAGGGACUUCAAAAAAUGUGGCUUUUAAAGAAAAGGAUAAUACAUGCAAUCAUAGAAUGGCUUGGGUUGGAAGGGACCUUUAAGAUCAUCUAGUUCCAACCCCACUGCUAUAGGCAGGGGCAGCUCCCACCAGACCAGAUUGCUUAAAGCCCCAUCCAGUCUGCAUUUAAGGAUUUGAACAGUGUUUUUGAGAAAAUUUUGUAGUAACUUAUGCACCAUUUGAUAUCUAAUACUCUUAAAGUAUGGAUUUAAUGCAAAACAAGUAUGUAAAGAUGUAUACAUUCUUGGAAAACAGAAUCUCAGUUAAGUACUAAGGAGUAAGGGAAAGAUUACGUGUUUCACAGGGUCAUACAACUGAUUGCUGUGUGAUGCCUUCUUCAGAUGAGGGAGCUCCCUUCCCUCCAAAGCAGGAGCAAUAUUGUUGGACUUUGCAGUUUUGAAAAGUACUAGUAAUAGGAAAAGUGGAUCAUCUUUAGGAAACCCUGAGACACAAGGAUAUAAAACAGGAAUUUCAAAAAGUGGGUUUUAUAUGAAUAUUGUGAUUAAAAGAAUUAGUGUUACAAAAUUUUUGUUGUUUAGGAAAGCGGGCAGAGAUGUGUUUUAUUUUUUAUUUCUCUUUUAUUGUAUGCUUGCACUGCAAAAUACAGUUACAAAGACAUGCUCACCUGACUGAACGGGAGUUAUCUGAAAAAUUUAUGUAUGUAUAUACAUAAAGACUGUCAAAGAGAUUUCUAUGAAAUAAUUUUUGUGUGACCUGAAUGAAUCAAAGUAGUAUGUUGUCAGUCUCACCUGCUGUCAAAGUGAUGUAAGCUUAAAAACUUGACAGGGUGGUUUCUGUGGCAAAGCACAACCCAACAUGGUUGCUGUUUAGGGCAGAUUAAAUUAAAAAAUCAGUAUAUAACUACUUUCCAGAAGAAAGAGCAUGGACCACAAAAUAUGGAUGUAGAAUGUGGCACAGGGUGGACAGAGCACAAUGGGCACAGGAUGGUGGAGAGAGGAAGUUUUUAGGAGAAAAGUAAAUGAUGGUGGGCACUGUUGUAUAGCAGAACUGCCUCAGGUUGGGGAAGCCAGAGGGGGGUCUGGAAAGUGAAUGCAAUGAUAGUUGAAGAAGAACGUGGAGUUAGCUCUGAGAAGGAGCAUCCAGAGUAGUUUAAACAACAAUCAUGAAUUUGAAUUGAUUUUAUUUAUUAUCACAGUGAAAGAACUUUGCCUCAGCUUUUUUGUGUUCUAUGUAUGCUCUGUGUAUUUUCACACAGAAUUACUUUGACGCUGGGAUCACUAGGAGAGACAGUGAAUACAAAGAAUGAAACAGCAAAAAGUCAGAAUAUAGUCAAGGCUCAGCCAUUCAAAAUCCAAGAGGAAAUUUAGAAGCCAACACACUAAACAUUAUCAAUCUUAAGUCUGUACCCAAAGCAGAAGAAGAUGCCUCUGGGUUUCCCUAGUCAUAACAAGAGAGUAUUUGCGUUCCUUAUAGGCUCUGCUGUACCAAUGCCUUUGCUGAUCUUCAUUUGAGGUGACAAGCAUCAAUGUUACUUCAGGUCACUGUAGUUUAGAUUUUGUGGAUCUUUGAAAAUCUGAGUCUCAACUCAGGCAACAGUGUUUGACGUAUGUUCAUCCCUAAUGAAAUCAAAACUGAGUUGACCUGAUACGGGCUGACUCUAAAUGAAUCAGAAGCAUAUGAGUUUGGAGCAAGACCUAAUUAUUUUCAUAAAAAUAAUUCCCACUUGUAAUCUCACUUGUAGUGCUUGUGUGAAUUUUCAUGGCGAUGAAACGUAAUGAAACAGUAAGUAUUUUGAGGUGGACUUUUCUGAUAAUUAAUGAGUUAAUGUUGGUUCUAGUGAUAUAUAUAGUUCAUCAAAUUACUAAGAACAGCUUUUAAUACUAGCUGUAAAUUGCUUAAAAUGCUCCUUGGACUUCAAAGACCCUGGAUACAUUUUGGCAUCAAUCUGAAAGAAUCUGUUUAUGAACAUUAAGUAGAUCCAUUCUAUUUUAAAAACGCGACUGUCACUAAAUAGAUGAAUGACUGAUGUGCUUUCAUUCUCCAGCAAUUAAUUUAAAUAUCUAAUCCCUAAACACAGGCAGUAAAAGCAAGAAAGAAACCUUUAUUGUACCAUGGGAAAAGAAAAGGGAAUAAAUCCAUGCUUUCUGAAUGUAUAAUCAGAGCAACAACAAAAAGAAACCCAACAACCUUUUGAGGUGACAGAUAUUCUAAAACUUUCUGCAUUUUUUGCACUAUUGUAAUUAGCUGUUACACUGUGUCUCUUUGUAGAGAAUUUACUCUCUUUUUACAUGUAGGGGUUUGCAAUAAACUAGAAGACAUAACAUCCCAGAUGUCCUAUUUUGCCUAUUUUUUUAAUCAAGAGUGCAACAUUUUCAAGAGUUGCAUUACCAUUAUUCAGAUUGUACGAAUAAAGUUGUCUGCUUUUCUUUCUCACAAGAUAGUACCCCUGAAAAAUCAAACAAAUUUUCUCAAGUAGUGAAUUAAAAAAGAACUUAGCUAGUUUAGAAAACUAACUCCAAUUAUUAAUACUUCUUGACAGAAGAUUUGCCAUAGGAUGGGUUCAUAUUGGUUUAAGUUCAUCUGCAAUGAACUCAUUCAAACUGAAGAUGAAUUCACAACGUUAGCAGUAACUUUAGAAUGAACUACCAUGCUAAUGUACAAAGGUAAGAUAAGCCAGCCAAUUAACUGCAUUUCUAGUGAGAAGUGGUAGGAAAAUUUUCUUCAUAGCUAUUAUAUUUGUCCAGCUUUCAAUAUGUUAAUGCUUUCAUGUGGUGGUGAGUUUAAAUUUUAGACAAAGUUUACUCAAAUGUUUUUUUCUCACCCUUUCCUUGCUGUGUGUUAAGUUAUAUUUUAAUAUUUCAAAUAUUAUAUAUUCUCCAGAGAUUUAAAAUUAAAAUAUAAAUUAUUGGAGUCCUGAUGUUUUAGUGGCCUACAUAUGUAGCUAGGAUCCUCAAUUCCUGAAGGAUUGGGCUGAAGUUUGCCUUCUUUCUAAUAUUCUCUGUAAUAUUUGUAACAAUAUGAAAUAUACAUGCAUUUCUUUAUCGCAUGGGUUGUUUUUGUUAAUGACAAGGGAAUAACCAGUUACUAAAAUAAGUACCAUAAUGGAAAAAGUCAUAUACAGAUCUUGGUCAUUUAGUAGAGACAGAUAAGCAACAUAAAAUUUGAAUACGAAGGGACUCCGAAAAAUGAUUCAUUGGAGGCAUUUCCAGAUCCCUUGCUUAGGUUGGAGAAAAGGUCAGAAACCUUUCCCAAAUAAGUGCUCUAUGAAGAAAUAGCCACUGCUUCUAGCAAGGUUAUUUUCAGCCUAAUUAACCUAACUAAGCAAAGUGCUAAAGCAAAGUGGGAUCUACAGUGGUUGGAAGAAGAUAAAAGUUGAGGAGGAAGUGUUAAAAAAUAAAAACAACAACAAAAAACAACAGUGAGUCACUGUUCAGUGUGACUAGAGAUGUAUACUCAUCUGUAUCAUCUGUGCUAUGCAGGUCUAUGGUGGCAAAUGGGGGUACUCAUUCACUCCUCAGUAGCAGAAUUACCAUAUCAACAUAGAAACCUGCCCACAUGAUUAAUGCUUCCUUCACGCAUAUGUUGAUACUGCUCCAUCUCCUUACCUAGCAGCCACAGAAUACCUUCUGAUAUGAGGUGAUGAAAAUCUGUCAUCUGAAAAAAUGAAAUUAUAGUAAAUACAAGAUUCCAUUAAACUGAGUUGUAGCCUGCAUUAACUACAGUUAUAAUAUUCAACCCCUGCAAAUCUGAUUUUUCUCGUUCUGUGAGUAUUUUUGUAUGGAGUAAUGUUUGAUCUCCUGAAGUUAUCCAUUGUCAAUGAGAUAAGACUAGAGGAUCUGCGGAUGUCCCUUCCAGAUUCAACUGCUAUGUGUUACAAAAAUAUUGAUAUAUGCCAUAAUGAACAUGAAAAUUUGAGGUUUUCAAAAUUAUGACUUGGAGUAUAUCUAUAUAUAUGGAUAUGUAUGUAUUGGUAUAUACAUAUCCAAUAUAUGUAUAUAUUUAUAUUUAUUUACUUAGUUCUUCAUAUUUAUGAAAAAAAAGGUCAUGAAAAUGAUGUCACAAUGGUGUCCUUGAUGCUUUCAAGGAUUCUGAUAACUAGAACAAACUAGAUCCAGUUUCACAUUAUCAAAAUAACCUAUCUGAUUCAAAAUCUAAAUUCACAGAUAUACUGUUAAAAUACUUCAUAUUCAGGAGUAUAUUUCAUUGGUUUAUAUCUUCAUUGCUUUUUUGACAAAAUUAAAAAAGAUGUAUACCAUGAAAUGCUCUAUCUGUGGAAGUACAAGUAUUUAGUUGCUCUUUCAUUUUGAGAGGCAUCUCAUCAUUCUGGUUUCUCACAGAAGACAAAACAAUUAAAAUGAAUAAAAAUCAGAUAUUUGUAAGAUCUGUUCUCUCUCUAGUGAAAAGGACAAAGUUUUUUGUAGUUUGUUGGGAAGUUUUGUUUGUAAUAGGGUAGAGAAAAAUUAAAGUAACACAAGCAAAAGCAUUUGCAGUUACAAAGCAUGAUAGCUUUCUGGAGAACAAGCUAAUGAGGACAGUAUUAGAGUUUUCACUUUUUCUGAAGUGUGGCCAAUAUUCCAGUAAUUCUGUUGAUCCCCAUCAUAAUAGUGUUUAACCUCAUUGCCCUAUUUCCUGUGGUUAAACUUGAAUGCAAAAGAUGUUGAAGAAAAAAAAACGUGCCACUUCUGUGAUAUGUAAUUUUUUUUAACAGCUGCAGUGAAUGUUACUGUAAAAGUUCAAAGACAGGAUAAAACUGCAAUUCUGAAACUGAUGUGUCAAUCUACUUUACAUGUAUAUAUACUGUAUAGAUGUUUGGUUUCUGCAGUAUUAUUUUCACUUUCUUUUGUCUAUCAGUACUCUGAUCUUUACUGUGUUCAAGAAAAUAAGCUGCUUUCUGUUU